AAUCCAUGUUGUGGGCAUUAAUGGAGUAAACCCUUGUAUCAUUCCCAUGCCUUUGAGGAGCAUUCUGAGUCUAGUUGUUGGAAAGUGAAUCUCAUCCCUUAGCUU
RNAcentral lists this small nucleolar RNA (105 nucleotides) under Olea europaea subsp. europaea. RNAcentral describes it as "Plant small nucleolar RNA R71". It matches the Rfam family "Plant small nucleolar RNA R71". From Rfam's summary of the family: R71 is a member of the C/D box family of snoRNAs containing the C (UGAUGA) and D (CUGA) box motifs. Multiple nearly identical copies of this snoRNA have been identified in Arabidopsis, and it is thought to function as a 2'-O-ribose methylation guide for 18S ribosomal RNA. Lineage: Eukaryota; Viridiplantae; Streptophyta; Magnoliopsida; Lamiales; Oleaceae. The record is from Rfam by way of RNAcentral.